Molecule: ribosomal RNA, 217 nt
Filed under: uncultured bacterium
Lineage: Bacteria
Description: partial 16S ribosomal RNA
Rfam family: Bacterial small subunit ribosomal RNA
Source: RNAcentral
ACGCUCGACACCUACGGGAGGCAGCAGUGAGGAAUAUUGGUCAAUGGACGCAAGUCUGAACCAGCCAUGCCGCGUGCAGGAUGACGGCUCUAUGAGUUGUAAACUGCUUUUGUACGAGGGUAAACGCAGAUACGUGUAUCUGUCUGAAAGUAUCGUACGAAUAAGGAUCGGCUAACUCCGUGCAAGCAGCCGCGGUAAUCUGAGCGGCUGGCAAGGC